AGUUAGCAGGCAAAAGAGGAAGAGCGGAAGAGAUCUAGAUGAGCUACCAGAAAGCCCCCCACGAGGAAUCCUACCCUCCACCAGGCAUGUAAUUUCUUCUGCUCCUCAUCCUCUUAGCAUUGUCCGUAACUUAGUGUAUCCGAUUUACUAGAUUGGCCCCUCUGCAGUUUUAAGUAAGAAACAAAUCUGAACUAUGGUGGCCAACUUCUUUCUUAUUUGUGAAUUCUACAACUAUCUUCUCGUCAAGCCUCCUGGGAUGUUCAUCCCUGUUAAUCUUGCUUUCAUAGUUGCUCUGUGCUCACUCUCUCAAGAGGUUUCUAUUCUUGCGAGCUGCGAUAGAUGCGACGCAAUAUGAUAAAGAUUUAAUUUGAUCUGAUUCUCCAAGUUCUCAGGUCAUGGAUUCUGUUAAAUCGCCGCAUGACGCUGGUUCCCCUCUCUGCAAUUUCAGGGUAUAAUCCGUCUCAGCAAUAUCCGUACCCUCCUCCCUCUCAGGGCUAUGGCCACCCGCCCCCUGGUGCGUACCCUCCACCUCAGGGUCAGGGACCGUACCCUCCACCGGGGUACCAAGGCUACUUCAACGACCAGCAGCACCCUUACUACCCGCCGCCGCAGCAGCAGCCGCCGCCUUAUGGGGGAUAUCAACACCAGGAACAGGAGGAUAGCUCCUGUGGGUUCCUCAAAGGAUG
RNAcentral lists this long non-coding RNA (686 nucleotides) under Setaria viridis. RNAcentral's name for it is "long non-coding RNA (SVIR_LNC007502)". Lineage: Eukaryota; Viridiplantae; Streptophyta; Magnoliopsida; Poales; Poaceae. The record is from RNAcentral.